CACGUAGGAGGCGAACGUUAUCCGGAUUUAUUGGGCGUAAAGCGCGUGUAGGUGGUUCUGUAAGUAGGGCGUGAAAGCUCCUGGCUCAACCGGGAGAGGCCGUUCUAUACUGCAGAGCUAGAGGAUGGUAGAGGGAGGUGGAAUUCCAGGUGUAGCGGUGAAAUGCGUAGAUAUCUGGAGGAACACCGGUGGCGAAAGCGGCUUUCUGGCGCAUAACUGACGCUGAGGCUCGAAAGCGUGGGGAGCGAACGGGAUUAGAUACCCGCGUAGU
This 271-nucleotide ribosomal RNA is filed under the name uncultured prokaryote. RNAcentral describes it as "partial 16S ribosomal RNA". It matches the Rfam family "Bacterial small subunit ribosomal RNA", at positions 524 to 794 of the family's 1533-position model. The record is from RNAcentral.